AUUGAACGCUGGCGGAAUGCUUUACACAUGCAAGUCGAACGGCAGCACGGACUUCGGUCUGGUGGCGAGUGGCGAACGGGUGAGUAAUGUAUCGGAACGUGCCCAGUCGUGGGGGAUAACGUAGUGAAAAUUACGCUAAUACCGCAUACGAUCUAUGGAUGAAAGCGGGGGAUCGCAAGACCUCGCGCGAUUGGAGCGGCCGAUAUCAGAUUAGGUAGUUGGUGGGGUAAAGGCCCACCAAGCCAACGAUCUGUAGCUGGUCUGAGAGGACGACCAGCCACACUGGAACUGAGACACGGUCCAGACUCCUACGGGAGGCAGCAGUGGGGAAUUUUGGACAAUGGGCGAAAGCCUGAUCCAGCCAUUCCGCGUGCAGGAUAAGGCCCUCGGGUUGUAAACUGCUUUUGUACAGAACGAAAAGGUUUCUACUAAUACUAGGAGCUCACGACGGUACUGUAAGAAUAAGCACCGGCUAACUACGUGCCAGCCGCCGCGGUAA
RNAcentral lists this ribosomal RNA (499 nucleotides) under uncultured bacterium. RNAcentral's name for it is "partial 16S ribosomal RNA". It matches the Rfam family "Bacterial small subunit ribosomal RNA", at positions 30 to 523 of the family's 1533-position model. The record is from RNAcentral.